RNAcentral lists this ribosomal RNA (255 nucleotides) under uncultured Gardnerella sp. Its description in RNAcentral is "partial 16S ribosomal RNA". It matches the Rfam family "Bacterial small subunit ribosomal RNA", at positions 99 to 350 of the family's 1533-position model. Lineage: Bacteria; Bacillati; Actinomycetota; Actinomycetes; Bifidobacteriales; Bifidobacteriaceae. The record is from RNAcentral.
CGAACGGGUGAGUAAUGCGUGACCAACCUGCCCCAUGCUCCAGAAUAGCUCUUGGAAACGGGUGGUAAUGCUGGAUGCUCCAACUUGACGCAUGUCUUGUUGGGAAAGUGUUUAGUGGCAUGGGAUGGGGUCGCGUCCUAUCAGCUUGUAGGCGGGGUAAUGGCCCACCUAGGCUUCGACGGGUAGCCGGCCUGAGAGGGCGGACGGCCACAUUGGGACUGAGAUACGGCCCAGACUCCUACGGGAGGCACAGGC